RNAcentral lists this microRNA precursor (107 nucleotides) under Ovis aries (sheep). RNAcentral's name for it is "miRNA (ENSOARG00000023428.1)". The stretch from base 43 to 94 matches the Rfam family "mir-1302 microRNA precursor family". The record is from RNAcentral. Lineage: Eukaryota; Metazoa; Chordata; Mammalia; Artiodactyla; Bovidae.
GGAUGCACUGUUUAAUUUGAAUUUCAAAUAACAAGGAGUGAUUGUUUAGUAUAAGUAUGUCCCAUGCAAUAUUUGGGACAUACUUAUACUAAAAAAAAUGUUUGCUA